Molecule: long non-coding RNA, 988 nt
Organism: Polyodon spathula (Mississippi paddlefish)
Lineage: Eukaryota; Metazoa; Chordata; Actinopteri; Acipenseriformes; Polyodontidae
Exons: 5
Source: RefSeq, a predicted model, not a curated record
CCUUCGAUAUGGGUCACGUCUCUGCUGCUGCGCUCUGUUAGCCGCGUCAUGUGUUACAGAGGGAAGCCAAUCCGCGCAACAGGAAUUCAAAACAAUGACAGCUAUUCAUAUAUGAAUGAGUAUUUUACAAUAAAACAUCUUGAAAAUCCAUUCAGGAAGAAAAAGCAAAACAAUCAGAUGAAAAACAGUUCGACACAAGUAAAGGAAAUAACAAAAUACAGUGAGUCAGUCCUGCUCAACAGAGACACACGGGAAUACAGUUUGCCGUACUGUAAGCAACAAGAGUGUCUUAUCCAGCAUCCAGGAUUUCUGCAGCACUGAUAAGAUUCACCCAACUACCUUGACCAUGUAUCGGAACAAGUGGACAAAUACAGGGGGCAGACUGUGUCUCUGGAGAAGCCAGCAGGGUAUCCAAUGAGAACUGGGGGGCUAGAUGACACAAUCUAUGCAGAAAUGGAGGAUGAGCUUGAAGCAUGGGAAGAUUUGUACCUUCAUGAAAGAGUAGAGAUGAGAGUUAUCGGUGCCAUUGAUAUGUUCGAGUCUGGCAGUGAACCUGCAGCUGAUCAUUCUGGCAGGCAGAGAUGACAACAUCUAUGCUUAUGAAAAUGAGGUGUUGCACCAAGUGGCUGACAGCUUGCAGGACCUCUUACAAAAUGGAAUUUAGUUUCCUGGAACCAAAGUCUACAACUAUGGGAAAUGUUUUGCUCCUAUGAUGGAAGAAGAAUAUGAUCAAUUAAUGCAGGAUGAAGAAGUAAAGAAAAUGAAAGGGGAGACCAGGAAAUUCAACAAAAGCAAAGAAGCCGAAUUUCUGGGCAUACUGGCCCGCAUUGAAGAAAAAGAGAAUGCAGAAAAGGUUGAAUCCAGUGAAGUUAUGCCUUCUAAUCACCAGUGCCCCAAGAAUGUAGUAGUUCAGUUGUGGAAGCAUGCAGAUAAAUCGUUCAUAUUUCAUUUAAGUGAUGCCUAUUAUGAGAUGUGGUGCAAGAUCUUC